This 698-nucleotide long non-coding RNA is filed under the name Capsicum annuum. RNAcentral describes it as "long non-coding RNA (CANN_LNC005796)". The record is from RNAcentral. Lineage: Eukaryota; Viridiplantae; Streptophyta; Magnoliopsida; Solanales; Solanaceae.
UUAUGAGUACAAGUCGCCACCACCUCCUUCUCCAUCUCCUCCACCGCCAUAUGAAUACAAGUCGCCACCACCUCCUUCACCAUCACCUCCACCACCAUACUACUACUCUUCCCCACCACCUCCGAAGAAGUCACCUCCACCACCAUACUACUACUCCUCUCCACCACCACCCGAGAAGUCACCUCCUCCACCAUACUACUACUCCUCUCCUCCACCCCCGGAGAAGUCACCUCCACCACCUUACUACUACUCUUCUCCACCACCCCCCAAGAAGUCACCUCCACCUCCAUACUACUAUAGUUCUCCACCACCACCCGAGAAGUCACCUCCACCACCUUACUACUAUUCUUCUCCUCCACCACCCGAGAAGUCACCUCCACCACCAUACUACUACUACUCUCCUCCACCACCCAAGAAGUCACCUCCACCUCCAUACUACUACAGUUCUCCACCACCACCAGUUAAGUAUCCUCCUCCACCAUACUACUACCCUUCUCCACCACCACCCAAGGAAUCACCUCCUCCACCAUACUACUACUCCUCACCACCACCACCCAAGAAGUCACCCCCACCCCCAUACUACUACUCCUCUCCUCCACCACCAGUUAAAUAUCCUCCUCCACCAUACUACUACUCUUCCCCACCACCACCAGUUAAGUACCCUCCUCCACCAUAUUACUACACUUCUCCUCCACCAC